This is a long non-coding RNA of Anthonomus grandis grandis, 2920 nucleotides long. RefSeq lists it as uncharacterized. The transcript is spliced from 6 exons. The record is from RefSeq and is a predicted model, not a curated record. Lineage: Eukaryota; Metazoa; Arthropoda; Insecta; Coleoptera; Curculionidae.
AUUGCAACUACCGGGGAAACCCUAAAAUAACAAAGGGCCGCGAUGAUUUUAUGGAAAUAUUUUAGUUAAAAAAGGCCGUUUUUUGUUUCAAAACAUUCGUCGUGUUUGUUUGUUGUGUUUGAAAGCACCGCUGGGUAAAAUGUUGUUUUAACUACGGACGCUUGCUAGGCAAAAGGAAAACACAGAUGUAUCGUUAAAAUUUUAAAUUAAUUGUUUAUGUAUGUGCAUAUUUAUACGUAGAUGCACACAGGCCCUAAUGGAACGAACGAGAAAAAAAACAAGUUUAUAUGGGCGUGGGCUAUAGAUUUAGUUUCACUUAUCAUGAACCACUACCAUUUUAGUUGUCAUUGUCUUGUCAAAUCGAACUAUCAAAAUGGCGGAUCGGCGUCAUUUUGAAAAAUCUCAAAGGCAUAUCUCCUUCUCUUGCAGUGAUUAAAACAAAAGGCCGUUACUUAUAAUGUAAGUCCGCAUUUAUAACUGAAAUGCACCGAAAGUGCCUGGAUUAAAACAAAUUUACCGAGCUAGAAGUAGCAUUUGUUUCGUAAACUGGGAAACAAAGAGGAAUGGUGAGGAGGGCGAAGCGACGGCAGGCGACGAAUAACAUAAACAAAGAGGAGGCUGCGAUAGUGGCAGCGUCGCUUUUGUCUGCAAAAACCCUGUUGCACGACCACCUUUGAGGAAUAUUUGAAUUAAAAUCGGUUCACUACGAGUCGAUCCCCUCCCACCCCGUUCUCCCUGCUUCCAUUUGCAAGAAUUUAAUGGCUUUACAGCAUCAGUUACAAACGAACGAGAUUCCGCUAUUGUAAUUAUUUAGUCGUUUCAUCUUUUCUUCUUCCUCGCUAUUGAAAUGCUAAAACACGAAUAAUAUUCCUUGGAAAGAUAUCAAGUUUUCUGAAGCUGUCUGUGCAACUAUUGCGAUUAAAAUUUAAUUAAAAGUUUACAAGAUAAGAUGACGCUAGGGGAUAUAAAAGCGCACGUGCCCGAACUUGGUAGGUAUCUAAAGCACAUUAAAACAAAAUGAAAACGACCUCUGACGGUUAUACCGAGAGUUAAAAGCGAGGUUGGUAGCAAUGACAGCCGUAGUAAUGGCGCCAAGUUUGAUUUUUUGCUAGUCUGAAAUAAAAACAAUAUUCUUCCAGGCAAUUGCAUUUUCAUUGAAGUGACCAGACCAUAAGUUGAACGUUUUCAAGUGCCUGGAAUAGAAUUAGAAAUUUUCAGUUGGCAACAAUGACAGCCGCAAAUUUGCUUUCUUUUUUUAUUAGAUCCAACCAGUAUUUAUUAGGAAAUUCUGCAUUGAAGUUACUAAAAGGCAAAUGGGAUUAUGUUUAUUUAAAUAAGAAAACCAUACGAUUGACGUCAUCAAAUGCCUGGAAUAAAAACAAUAUUCGUCCAGGCAAUUGCAUUUUUAUUGAAGUGAGAAGACCAUAAAAUGAACGUCAUCAAGUGCCUAGAAUAGAAUUUGAAAUUUUCACUUGGCAACAAUGACGGCCGCAAAUUUGCUUAUUGCAAUUGCGUUUUUAUUGAAGUGAGAAGACCAUAAGUUGAACGUCAUCAAGUGCCUGGAAUAGAAUUAGAAAUUUUCUUUUGGUUGGCAACAAUGACGGCCGCAAAUUUGCUUAUUGCAAUUGCAUUUUUAUUGAAGCGAGAAGACCAUAAGUUGAACGUCAUCAAGUGCCUGGAAUAGAAUUAGAAAUUUUCAGUUGGCAACGAUGACGGCCGCAAAUUUGCUUAUUGCAAUUGCGUUUUUAUUGAAGUGAGAAGACCAUAAAAUGAACGUCAUCAAGUGCCUGGAAUAGAAUUAGUCAUUUUCAGUUGGCAACAAUGACGAGCGCAAAUUUGCUUAUUGUGCUGCCUGUAAAGAGAGAUGGAAGAAUCUUAGGGCAGUGUUUGUAAGGCAUAUGAAACCUGCUCCGAGUGGUUCUGGUGCAAAAAAAAUAUAUUACUUAACAGACCUUAUGCAGUUGGUAUUGCCAUUUGUGAAAACCGGAAUACCUUCACAAGCUAGUAACUGUUGGUAAAGUAGAUGCUGAAGUUGCAUCAACUGAGGCAUCAGAUUACCAACCGAACAACCCCUUGUUCCACUCAGAGCGAACCAAUAUCGAAGCAACAGAAACAAAUCCAGUUUCAGCUGAGAUACCCCAGCCAAAAUGCAGUUCAACACCUCAUACUAGAGCAAACAAGCGUAAAAGGCCUCUAGAUGAGGUGGAUAAAACUUUUGUGAAUUUUCUUAAGGAAAGGCAAAUGCAAGAAGGCAGGGCCGAAAAUACACGAAAAAUGUUUCGUCUAAGUUUAUUAGAUGAAGUGACCAGCAUGUCAGAUGAACAAUGGAAAUUAUUUAAAAGAAGAACCCUGAAUGUAAUAGACGAAAUUAUGACUCUGAUCUUUCAAGAGAAUCUAUAUUUACAAUGACAUCUCCAUCUUAUUCAAAUAAUUCUCAGCAUUCCUUUCCCUCCAACACUAAUCAAAUUGAUACAUACUCCACAAGGACAGAAAUCACUCCUGUUUCAUCGUUGCAAAAUACUUCUUGUACUGGGCAGAAUGUAUUUACCAUGUCAAUGUGAAAAAAUGAAUAAAUAAAUAUUCCUUGGAACGAAUAAAUACAUUUUUUUCACUUACCUUUGAGUAAUCAUUAUCCUUUCUUCAGGACUUACGCAUUCCCUGCUCAUAUUUGUAUUCCUCUUAACUAUUUCAGGAUGAACUCUAUUCAGAAGGAGUCUAUAUGUUUCUUUAGUCAUUCUGUAGAACAUAUGAAACUUUGCAUCAUCUAGUUGCAAUUCUGAGGCGGCUACAAACAAUCUACAGUUUAAAUUUAUUUCUAAGUAGGGAUGGACCCAGAAUCGCCUUCUUCUGCGUCUAUAUCUUCGAUUGUAAUAGUACAAAAUAGCCAUCUCAUCCAAAUCAUCCAUAAUUUAUGACAACA